CAAUAGCGUAUAUUAAAGUUGUUGCAGUUAAAAAACUCGUAGUUGGAUUUCUGGUUGAAGCGACCGGUCGGGCGUUGAUUCGUCUGCACUGGAGUCGGUUUUGGCCAUCCUCUAGGAAAGUGCGUCUGGUAUUAAGUUAUCGGGCGUAUGAUCCUGGUCUUUUACUGUGAAAAAAUUAGAGUGUUUAAAGCAGGCCUUCGCCUUGAAUACAUUAGCAUGGAAUAAUAAGAUAGGACUUUGGUCUAUUUUGUUGGUUUGCAGACCGAAGUAAUGAUUAAUAGGGAUAGUUGGGGGUAUUUAUAUUCCGAUGUCAGAGGUGAAAUUCUUAGAUUUUCGGAAGAUAAACUUAUGCGAAAGCAUUUACCAAGGAUGUUUNCAUUAA
RNAcentral lists this ribosomal RNA (382 nucleotides) under uncultured eukaryote. RNAcentral's name for it is "partial 18S ribosomal RNA". It matches the Rfam family "Eukaryotic small subunit ribosomal RNA", at positions 592 to 976 of the family's 1831-position model. The record is from RNAcentral.